Phalacrocorax carbo (great cormorant) is the source of this 1171-nucleotide non-coding RNA. Lineage: Eukaryota; Metazoa; Chordata; Aves; Suliformes; Phalacrocoracidae. The record is from RefSeq and is a predicted model, not a curated record.
AUCGCAGUGGACCGGGACCGGGACCGGGACCGGGACCGGGACCUGCCGCGCCGCCGUCUCGCCUCAGCCGCGCGGCUGCGGCUGCCAUGGAAAUCACAACCACGCCCUGAUUGGUCGCGGGCCUCGAUGUGUCGCGGGACGCGGUUGGGCCGGCGCUGAAGAUUGACAGAUCGGGGGCGGGGCCGGGCGACGGAGGGGCGGGACCGUUAACCCCUGCGGGCGCGGCGGGAAACAUCUGGAGCCCACAGCUGGAGGGGGCGGGGCGCGCGGGCGCACAUCUGGGCGGUGGCGCCACGUGAACGCCCCGAGGAGCCCAUGUGCAUCAACAUCUGGACAGCCAUGCCAGACAGAUGUUGAUGGCUGGGAACAGCUGGAUUUCAUCACAGGUGGCUCCACUAAAACACACCAGCGUUGCUGAAGGAGGAGGGUAAAGGCUUGGGCUACACCAACAGUCUAACAAGCAAACGCUUUGCCGAAUGCUUCCCCCGGCUCGGGUUCGGAGAGGAGCUCUGGCCCAGCUGCCAUCACCAUAUGCAGACAAACACCCCAUGGAAAAGUCAGCGCUGCUGCAGGGUCAUAGCAAAGGGAGCAAUCCCAUGGGACAGUCCUCAGCCCUUGCAAAGUGCCUAUGAUGAAACCUUUACAAGCCUGUCAGGACGUGGUUUCCAGCGAUACUGAUGUGCCAACGCUCGCUGCCGGCGCUGCCCGGAGAGCUGCUACGGAUGAGCACUUGUUCUGCCGCCUGCUUCACCAAGUUGAUGGAGAAGCAGCGCUAUCGAGACGGGCCGUGAAUGCAGCGUGGCUCAUGCGUGUUUUAUUUGCUGAAAAAAUUAAGCGAAGGUAGCCAUGUGAGCAGAUACCUACAUUCAGGACAGUGACAAGAAUUCUCAUGGUGGGAGAAGUUCUGCCCUGUAAGGACUGAGUUUCAAGAGUACCUAAUGUCCGUAAGGCUUUCAGACGUGCUCAGGGAACUGCUCGGACCAUAGAGAAACCAGCAACUCCUUUCAGGUGGUAAAUUUCCUUUCAAAUUUCUUUUCUCUGACAGCUAUUGACAGGGAAUAAAUGUCAUUUGCUGCCAGAUGCAGCUGGAUUUGAACUAAUGAUUUAAAGAUGAAACAGUCUGUAUCCUGUUUCCAGUAAGUUUGCCUCAAUCCAUUAAACAGCACUUUUC